Molecule: ribosomal RNA, 446 nt
Filed under: uncultured bacterium
Lineage: Bacteria
Description: partial 16S ribosomal RNA
Rfam family: Bacterial small subunit ribosomal RNA
Source: RNAcentral
CCUACGGGCGGCUGCAGUCGAGAAUCAUUCACAAUGGGGGAAACCCUGAUGGUGCGACGCCGCGUGGGGGAAUGAAGGUCUUCGGAUUGUAAACCCCUGUCAUGUGGGAGCAAAUGAAAAAGAUAGUACCACAAGAGGAAGAGACGGCUAACUCUGUUCCAGCAGCUGCGGUAAUACAGAGGUCUCAAGCGUUGUUCGGAAUUAAUGGGCGUAAAGCGUGCGUAGGCGGGUUCGUAAGUCGUGUGUGAAAGGCGCGGGCUCAACCCGCGGACGGCACAUGAUACUGCGAGACUAGAGUUAUGGAGGGGGAAGCGGAAUUCUGGGUGUAGCAGUGAAAUGCGUAGAUAUCGCGAGGAACACUCGUGGCGAAGGCGGGUUCCUGGACAUUAACUGACGCUGAGGCACGAAGGCGAGGGGAGCGAAAGGGAUUAGAUACCCGAGUAGUC